CACGUAGGGCGCAAGCGUUGUCCGGAAUUAUUGGGCGUAAAGAGCGUGUAGGCGGCCCGGUAAGUCCGCUGUGAAAGUCCAGGGCUCAACCCUGGGAUGCCGGUGGAUACUGUCGGGCUCGAGUCCGGAAGAGGAGUGUGGAAUUCCUGGUGUAGCGGUGAAAUGCGCAGAUAUCAGGAGGAACACCAAUGGCGAAGGCAGCACUCUGGGACGUGACUGACGCUGAGACGCGAAAGCGUGGGGAGCAAACAGG
Molecule: ribosomal RNA, 253 nt
Filed under: uncultured bacterium
Lineage: Bacteria
Description: partial 16S ribosomal RNA
Rfam family: Bacterial small subunit ribosomal RNA
Source: RNAcentral